AGUGAACGCUGGCGGUAGGCCUAACACAUGCAAGUCGAACGGCAGCACAGUAAGAGCUUGCUCUUACGGGUGGCGAGUGGCGGACGGGUGAGGAAUACAUCGGAAUCUACUUUUUCGUGGGGGAUAACGUAGGGAAACUUACGCUAAUACCGCAUACGACCUACGGGUGAAAGCAGGGGAUCUUCGGACCUUGCGCGAUUGAAUGAGCCGAUGUCGGAUUAGCUAGUUGGCGGGGUAAAGGCCCACCAAGGCGACGAUCCGUAGCUGGUCUGAGAGGAUGAUCAGCCACACUGGAACUGAGACACGGUCCAGACUCCUACGGGAGGCAGCAGUGGGGAAUAUUGGACAAAGGGCGCAAGCCUGAUCCAGCCAUACCGCGUGGGUGAAGAAGGCCUUUGGGUUGUAAAGCCCUUUUGUUGGGAAAGAAAAGCAGCAGGUUAAUACCCCGCUGUUCUGACGGUACCCAAAGAAUAAGCACCGGCUAACUUCGUG
Molecule: ribosomal RNA, 492 nt
Filed under: uncultured bacterium
Lineage: Bacteria
Description: partial 16S ribosomal RNA
Rfam family: Bacterial small subunit ribosomal RNA
Source: RNAcentral